GACGAACGCUGGCGGCGUGCUUAACACAUGCAAGUCGAACGGUAAGACCCUGCUGGUGGCGGGUGCUCGAGUGGCGAACGGGUGAGUAACCCGUGAGUGACCUGCCGUUGACGUUGGGAUAACGUCAGGAAACUGAGUCUAAUACCGGAUAGGAGCUCCUGCGGCAUGGUGGGGGCUGCAAAGUUUCGGCGGGCGCGGUUGGACUUGCGGCUUAUCAGCUUGGUGGUGGGGGAGUGGCAUGCCAAGGCUUUGACGGGUAGCCGGCCUGAGUGGGGGAACGGGCACAUUAGGACUGCGAUACGGCCCAGACUCCUACGGGGGGCAGCAGUGGGGAAUAUUGCCCAACGGGCGGAAGCCUGAUGCAGCAACGCCGCGUGCGGGAUCACGGCCUUCGGGUAGUAAACAGCUUCCGCCUGUGACGAAGCGUGGGUGACGGUACUGGGUAAAGAAGCACCGGCUAACUACGUG
Molecule: ribosomal RNA, 468 nt
Filed under: uncultured bacterium
Lineage: Bacteria
Description: partial 16S ribosomal RNA
Rfam family: Bacterial small subunit ribosomal RNA
Source: RNAcentral